UACGUAGGGGACAAGCGUUGUCCGGAGUUACUGGGCGUAAAGCGCACGCAGGCGGUCGCGUAAGAGUGCGGGGACGGUGGGCGGCUUAACUGCCCAAGGGUCGCACAGACUGCGUGACUGGAGGGCCAGAGAGGGACCUGGAAUUCCGGGUGGAGCGGUGAAAUGCGUAGAGAUCCGGAGGAACACCAAUGGCGAAGGCAGGGUCCUGGCUGGCACCUGACGCUCAUGUGCGAAAGCCAGGGGAGCGAACGGG
RNAcentral lists this ribosomal RNA (253 nucleotides) under uncultured bacterium. Its description in RNAcentral is "partial 16S ribosomal RNA". It matches the Rfam family "Bacterial small subunit ribosomal RNA", at positions 524 to 776 of the family's 1533-position model. The record is from RNAcentral.